Molecule: long non-coding RNA, 152 nt
Organism: Morone saxatilis (striped sea-bass)
Lineage: Eukaryota; Metazoa; Chordata; Actinopteri; Moronidae
Exons: 3
Source: RefSeq, a predicted model, not a curated record
GCUUAAUAUUUUAUUCUAGCUAUGUUUGGAUGGUUUAAAUCAGAACCCUGUCCACCCCCUGAGACUUUUACUGAACAAUGGAGGAAAAUACCAUGGGGCCACAGAGAGAGAGACCUUCAGUAUGUGAGGGAUUAUCAGCCUCAUAAUAAAGA